UAGGCUGACGGUACCCUCAGAGGAAGCACCGGCUAACUCCGUGCCAGCAGCCGCGGUAAUACGGAGGGUGCAAGCGUUGUUCGGAAUUAUUGGGCGUAAAGAGCGUGUAGGCGGUBUGUUAAGUCUGAUGUGAAAGCCCGGGGCUUAACCCCGGAAGUGCAUUGGAAACUGGCAGACUUGAGUAUGGGAGAGGGAAGUGGAAUUUCGAGUGUAGGGGUGAAAUGCGUAGAUAUUCGGAGGAACACCAGUGGCGAAGGCGGCUUUCUGGACCGAUACUGACGCUGAGAGUGCGAAAGCGUGGGGAGCAAACAGGAUUAGAUACCCUGGUAGUCCACGCCGUAAACGAUGGGUACUAGGUGUUGCGGGUAUUGACGCCUGCUAGUGCCGAAGUAACGCRUUAAGUA
Molecule: ribosomal RNA, 404 nt
Filed under: uncultured delta proteobacterium
Lineage: Bacteria; Deltaproteobacteria
Description: bacterial SSU rRNA
Rfam family: Bacterial small subunit ribosomal RNA
Source: RNAcentral